This 625-nucleotide ribosomal RNA is filed under the name uncultured Enterobacter sp. Its description in RNAcentral is "bacterial SSU rRNA". It matches the Rfam family "Bacterial small subunit ribosomal RNA", at positions 336 to 947 of the family's 1533-position model. The record is from RNAcentral. Lineage: Bacteria; Pseudomonadati; Pseudomonadota; Gammaproteobacteria; Enterobacterales; Enterobacteriaceae.
CUCCUACGGGAGGCAGCAGUGGGGAAUAUUGCACAAUGGGCGCAAGCCUGAUGCAGCCAUGCCGCGUGUAUGAAGAAGGCCUUCGGGUUGUAAAGUACUUUCAGCGGGGAGGAAGGCGUUGAGGUUAAUAACCUCAGCUGUAUUGACGUUACCCGCAUAAGAAGCACUGGCUAACUCCGUGCCAGCAGCCGCGGUAAUACGGAGGGUGCAAGCGUUAAUCGGAAUUACUUGGGCGUAAAGCGCACGCAGGCGGUCUGUCAAGUCGGAUGUGAAAUCCCCGGGCUCAACCUGGGAACUGCAUUCGAAACUGGCAGGCUAGAGUCUUGUAGAGGGGGGUAGAAUUCCAGGUGUAGCGGUGAAAUGCGUAGAGAUUUGGAGGAAUACCGGUGGCGAAGGCGGCCCCCUGGACAAAGACUGACGCUCAGGUGCGAAAGCGUGGGGGAGCAAACAGGAUUAGAUACCCUGGUAGUCCACGCCGUAAACGAUGUCGACUUGGAAGGUUGUGCCCUUGAGGCGUGGCUUUCCGGACCUAACCCGUUUUAGUCGACCGCUGGGGAGUACGGCCGCAAGGUUAAAACUAAAAUGAAUUGACGGGGGCCCCGCCAAGCGGUGGAGCAUGUGGUUU